RNAcentral lists this long non-coding RNA (658 nucleotides) under Spirodela polyrhiza (greater duckweed). RNAcentral's name for it is "long non-coding RNA (SPOL_LNC001269)". Lineage: Eukaryota; Viridiplantae; Streptophyta; Magnoliopsida; Alismatales; Araceae. The record is from RNAcentral.
GCCUAGGGAGCGGAGCCGGCGAGACAAGGACGAGAUCAGUCGCGCCAGCUUGGCGUGGCAUUGCUGGGGUCGCGAGGGUCGGUUUGAGCCGGCUAUCAGUGACUCUUCAAGGCUGGUCCUUCCAGCGCACAGCUCCAAAGACCGUACCACGAGGAGCCCGGUGUCGUCCUCUUCCUCCCGCCGCGAUAGCGUCCAGUCAUCCCACUGCAGCAGGCGCGAAACCCCAAUUAGCAGAAGUGAAGGGGCGUGGCGGCGGAGACGGCGGCGAGGGGGGAUUUACGGCGCGGCGCAGGUGCCGGCGUAUCUGGCUGUGGGUGGCGGGCGGUGAGGCGCAAGCAUCCAACGCGAGGAAGUCCAGCGUGCGGAGUAGGGAUCCGAGGAGCCCCCUCCCCGUACAUUUCUCCGUCCCCGACCUGCAACGAGGGCCCCCUUUGCUGUCAGCAUUGCAUUGAAGACAAAGAAACACUAGUUCAAGCAGCCACCGAAAAGCCGUCGCCGUCGCCGUCACUGUCAUUAUAGUGUAGCCAAAGAUCCUCGUAUUGAAGUAUAAAAGACAGUGGGGAUUAUGUGACGGAUGAAGCGGUGGAUAUGAUAUGAGCUGUUCGUCACCUGAGAGAGGACACGGUAUUGCCGUCGGCGUAGCUACUCAGCGACCGCC